This 459-nucleotide ribosomal RNA is filed under the name uncultured bacterium. Its description in RNAcentral is "partial 16S ribosomal RNA". It matches the Rfam family "Bacterial small subunit ribosomal RNA", at positions 338 to 795 of the family's 1533-position model. The record is from RNAcentral.
GCUACGGGAGGCAGCAGUGAGGAAUAUUGGUCAAUGGUCGGGAGACUGAACCAGCCAAGCCGCGUGAGGGAAGACGGUACAGAGUAUUGUAAACCUCUUUUGUCAGGGAACAAAGGCGGGGACGUGUCCCCGGAUGAGUGUACCUGAAGAAAAAGCAUCGGCUAACUCCGUGCCAGCAGCCGCGGUAAUAAGGAGGAUGACAGCGUUAUCCGGUUUUAUUGGGUUUAAGUGGGGGGCAGGCGGGUGUUUAAGUCAGCGGUCAAAGCCCGGGGCUCAACCCCGGCCCGCCGUUGAAACUGGUUUUCUUGAGUGAGCGAGAAGUAUGCGGAAUGCGUGGUGUAGCGGUGAAAUGCAUAGAUAUCACGCAGAACUCCGAUUGCGAAGGCAGCAUACCGGCGCUCAACUGACGCUCAUGCACGAAAGUGUGGGUAUCGAACAGGAUUAGAUACCCGGGUAGUC